This 252-nucleotide ribosomal RNA is filed under the name uncultured bacterium. RNAcentral describes it as "partial 16S ribosomal RNA". It matches the Rfam family "Bacterial small subunit ribosomal RNA", at positions 524 to 776 of the family's 1533-position model. The record is from RNAcentral.
UACGGAGGAUGCGAGCGUUAUCCGGAUUUAUUGGGUUUAAAGGGUGCGUAGGCGGCAAGUCAAGUCAGCGGUAAAAAUGCGGUGCUCAACGCCGUAUAGCCGUUGAAACUGACAUGCUAGAGUGAGCGAGAAGUAUGCGGAAUGCGUGGUGUAGCGGUGAAAUGCAUAGAUAUCACGCAGAACCCCGAUUGCGAAGGCAGCAUACCGGCGCUCAACUGACGCUCAGGCACGAAAGCGUGGGUAGCAAACAGG